GACGAACGCUGGCGGCGUGCUUAACACAUGCAAGUCGAGCGGUAAGGCCCUUUCGGGGGUACACGAGCGGCGAACGGGUGAGUAACACGUGGGUGACCUGCCCUCAGCUCUGGGAUAAGCCUGGGAAACUGGGUCUAAUACCGGAUAUGACUCCAUGACGCAUGUUGUGGGGUGGAAAGCCUUGUGCGGCUGAGGAUCGGGCCCGCGGCCUAUCAGUCUUGUUGGUGGGGUGAUGGCCUACCAAGGCGACGACGGGUAGCCGGCCUGAGAGGGCGACCGGCCACACUGGGACUGAGAUACGGCCCAGACUCCUACGGGAGGCAGCAGUGGGGAAUAUUGCGCAAUGGGCGGAAGCCUGACGCAGCGACGCCGCGUGGGGAUGACGGCCUCGGU
RNAcentral lists this ribosomal RNA (393 nucleotides) under uncultured bacterium. Its description in RNAcentral is "bacterial SSU rRNA". It matches the Rfam family "Bacterial small subunit ribosomal RNA", at positions 28 to 423 of the family's 1533-position model. The record is from RNAcentral.